RNAcentral lists this long non-coding RNA (350 nucleotides) under Ananas comosus (pineapple). RNAcentral describes it as "long non-coding RNA (ACOM_LNC014154)". The record is from RNAcentral. Lineage: Eukaryota; Viridiplantae; Streptophyta; Magnoliopsida; Poales; Bromeliaceae.
AUCUUUUAGUUGUAGACUUAGCAUUUUUUUUUAAUUUGUGUUGCACGCUAUCCGUUUCGUUUAUUUCAUUUAGAAAUAAACUUAAGCUAAAAAUACGAAUCAAGAUUCGAACUUAGAAUCUCGGGUACCAACUAUAUAUCAAGUUCUUUGCCACUUGCAUUAGGGACGGUCCGCGAUAAUAUAUCUUCCUGAAAGAGAAAAAAAAAAAGAAAAAGAUUAGUUGUUAUAUUAUAGUAUUAUAGUUCGUAGUAGAGUGAAAUAUUUGAAUGGUUGUGGAGAGAGAGAGAGAGAGGAGAGAGAGCGGGGGAUGAGGGAGUAGUUGGAGGGGAGUAACUGUGCGUAUAAAUAGG